GUCGAACGACUCUGGUAUUGAUUGGUGCUUGCAUCAUGAUUUACAUUUGAGUGAGUGGCGAACUGGUGAGUAACACGUGGGAAACCUGCCCAGAAGCGGGGGAUAACACCUGGAAACAGAUGCUAAUACCGCAUAACAACUUGGACCGCAUGGUCCGAGCUUGAAAGAUGGCUUCGGCUAUCACUUUUGGAUGGUCCCGCGGCGUAUUAGCUAGAUGGUGGGGUAACGGCUCACCAUGGCAAUGAUACGUAGCCGACCUGAGAGGGUAAUCGGCCACAUUGGGACUGAGACACGGCCCAAACUCCUACGGGAGGCAGCAGUAGGGAAUCUUCCACAAUGGACGAAAGUCUGAUGGAGCAACGCCGCGUGAGUGAAGAAGGGUUUCGGCUCGUAAAACUCUGUUGUUAAAGAAGAACAUAUCUGAGAGUAACUGUUCAGGUAUUGACGGUAUUUAACCAGAAAGCCACGGCUAACUACGUGCCAGCAGCCGCGGUAAUACGUAGGUGGCAAGCGUUGUCCGGAUUUAUUGGGCGUAAAGCGAGCGCAGGCGGUUUUUUAAGUCUGAUGUGAAAGCCUUCGGCUCAACCGAAGAAGUGCAUCGGAAACUGGGAAACUUGAGUGCAGAAGAGGACAGUGGAACUCCAUGUGUAGCGGUGAAAUGCGUAGAUAUAUGGAAGAACACCAGUGGCGAAGGCGGCUGUCUGGUCUGUAACUGACGCUGAGGCUCGAAAGUAUGGGUAGCAAACAGGAUUAGAUACCCUGGUAGUCCAUACCGUAAACGAUGAAUGCUAAGUGUUGGAGGGUUUCCGCCCUUCAGUGCUGCAGCUAACGCAUUAAGCAUUCCGCCUGGGGAGUACGGCCGCAAGGCUGAAACUCAAAGGAAUUGACGGGGGCCCGCACAAGCGGUGGAGCAUGUGGUUUAAUUCGAAGCUACGCGAAGAACCUUACCAGGUCUUGACAUACUAUGCAAAUCUAAGAGAUUAGACGUUCCCUUCGGGGACAUGGAUACAGGUGGUGCAUGGUUGUCGUCAGCUCGUGUCGUGAGAUGUUGGGUUAAGUCCCGCAACGAGCGCAACCCUUAUUAUCAGUUGCCAGCAUUAAGUUGGGCACUCUGGUGAGACUGCCGGUGACAAACCGGAGGAAGGUGGGGAUGACGUCAAAUCAUCAUGCCCCUUAUGACCUGGGCUACACACGUGCUACAAUGGAUGGUACAACGAGUUGCGAACUCGCGAGAGUAAGCUAAUCUCUUAAAGCCAUUCUCAGUUCGGAUUGUAGGCUGCAACUCGCCUACAUGAAGUCGGAAUCGCUAGUAAUCGCGGAUCAGCAUGCCGCGGUGAAUACGUUCCCGGGCCUUGUACACACCGCCCGUCACACCAUGAGAGUUUGUAACACCCAAAGUC
RNAcentral lists this ribosomal RNA (1400 nucleotides) under Lactiplantibacillus plantarum. RNAcentral describes it as "bacterial SSU rRNA". It matches the Rfam family "Bacterial small subunit ribosomal RNA", at positions 61 to 1428 of the family's 1533-position model. Lineage: Bacteria; Bacillati; Bacillota; Bacilli; Lactobacillales; Lactobacillaceae. The record is from RNAcentral.